GAUUAACGCUAGCGGCAGACCUAAUACAUGCAAGUCGAACGGCAGCGGGUCCAGCAAUGGAUGCCGGCGAGUGGCGCACGGGUGCGUAACACGUAUGCAAUCUACCCUUAACUGGGGGAUAGCCCCGAGAAAUCGGGAUUAAUACCCCAUAAUAUUAUGAAGUGGCAUCAUUUUAUAAUUAAAGUUCCGACGGUUUUGGAUGAGCAUGCGCGACAUUAGCUAGUUGGCGAGGUAACGGCUCACCAAGGCUGCGAUGUCUAGGGGUUCUGAGAGGAUUCACCCCCACACUGGUACUGAGACACGGACCAGACUCCUACGGGAGGCAGCAGUAAGGAAUAUUGGUCAAUGGACGCAAGUCUGAACCAGCCAUGCCGCGUGAAGGAAGACGGCCCUACGGGUUGUAAACUUCUUUUGUACGGGAAAAACCACCGGUCGUGAACCGGUGCUGAUGGUACCGUAAGAAUAAGCAUCGGCUAACUCCGUGCCAGCAGCCGCGGUAAACACGAG
RNAcentral lists this ribosomal RNA (507 nucleotides) under uncultured bacterium. Its description in RNAcentral is "bacterial SSU rRNA". It matches the Rfam family "Bacterial small subunit ribosomal RNA", at positions 28 to 529 of the family's 1533-position model. The record is from RNAcentral.